AAUCCCAACUCUGGACAGCUGAGAAUCUGGUUCAAUGACUCAGUAUACAGGCCUGAUCCUGGAAACUCUCACUACUACAGACAUUCCCAUUCAAAUUAAUCAGACUACCUGUUGUGGAAUGAAAACAAAAUUCUAAACCUGGAAGUUGCUGUGAAAUGGAAUUGUUGCUCUCUGGACAGCUUGUAAGUGAUGUUCUACACCAGAAAGGCAGGCAGGCUACUGGAGAGUCAUGCUGACACGCUGCUCCAUUGAGGGCCCAUGGCAUGUAGCUGCAGAGAAGUUAACAAGAAUCAUAGAAAUGUAGGGCUGGAAGGGACCUUGAGAAGUCAUCAAGUCUAGCCUCCUGUGCUGUGGCAGAACCAAAAUAAACCUAGACCA
This is a long non-coding RNA of Mauremys reevesii (Reeves's turtle), 378 nucleotides long. RefSeq lists it as uncharacterized. Lineage: Eukaryota; Metazoa; Chordata; Testudines; Geoemydidae. The transcript is spliced from 3 exons. The record is from RefSeq and is a predicted model, not a curated record.